AGUUUUGCCCCCUGCCGACUCGCUGCCCAUUCAGCAGCAGAGGAUCCAAGCCGGAAAAGCUCCAGUUGGUGAUAGAAAAUGGGAGAACAGAAGACAACCACUUUAUAAAACCCUUGUCUGCUUGGAUUUGUGGUGCUGAUGGCUCUGGAUCCUGGUUUGUUCUCCUUGUGGACCAACAUCUGUUAGAAGACACUGGCACAGGAAGUGAAGGGGCAGGAUCACCACUCCUCCCAGUUUCCUUGUUUUUACUUAGAACUGGUAUCUAUGAAGCCCUAGAUGAACAUGAACCAAGCUGCUGAGGACCAGAAGUGAAUGAGACAUCAUGAGAAAGCACUGGGGGCCGAAUGCUGCUGGGCACAGAUGAAGCAAUGUAUGAUAGGACCACUGACUGCACAGACUUCUUCUUCCCAAGAGAAGAGGGAUGAGGAAGAAGUGGCCCCUGAGAUUUGCUGCUGAGGACCAGAAG
Molecule: non-coding RNA, 466 nt
Organism: Arvicanthis niloticus (Nile rat)
Lineage: Eukaryota; Metazoa; Chordata; Mammalia; Rodentia; Muridae
Source: RefSeq, a predicted model, not a curated record